Magnolia sinica is the source of this 1730-nucleotide long non-coding RNA. RefSeq lists it as uncharacterized. The record is from RefSeq and is a predicted model, not a curated record. NCBI's taxonomy places the organism in Eukaryota, Viridiplantae, Streptophyta, Magnoliopsida, Magnoliales, Magnoliaceae. The transcript is spliced from 5 exons.
CUCUCUCGAUCUCCCCUGUCACGAACCCCUCUUCUCUCCCUAACCAUCCUCUCUCUCUGAAUCUCACGAAGACUUCCCUCUCUGACGCCAUAAUCCGCGUCCAUUUUAAAUGUUUUAAUGGCUCUCUUUUUGCCCUUCAUUUUUCGUGAAAAUCCUCUCCCUCCCUCUCUCGUUAGUCCUUGCAUCAAUGGCAUCCGUCUCUGCGACUUCCAUCUGGUUCGGAUCUUCGUUACAACAAGCGAAUUGGAGUUAGGUAGCUGGAAGGAUUUCUAGUUUGAGGUUGGUCUCUGUUGGCAGGGUGAAGAACGUCAGCUUCUCAUCUCUGCGGACCUCCCGAUUCCAGAUCUGUUGUGCAGCAAAAAAGGAGACAGUUGACAAAGUCUGCGAGAUUGUGAGGAAGCAAAUAUGCUUGCCUGACGAGAUAAGUUUUUUUUUUUUUUUUAAAGAAGAAAAGGUCAUGAAAAUUAUGUAUAUAUCCCCACUUUGUGAAGAGAAUGGAGAUCUCAUGAACUCUUAUUGGCUAAAGAUAUGGGACCCAGUCCUUAAAUGAUGGGACCCAUUGGUUACUGCACAGGUCCUAAAUCUAGAAACGGGUGGUUUUAAUUGUUUUGUCAGUCCUCAACUCUUCAACGUAGUAUUUUUAUUACAUUGCAUUGCUAUUUAUCAUUUUCGUAUGUAUGUUACCCAUGUUAAAAUCUGAAACUUUUAGAUUAUAUGACUGAAUUGUUGAAAUUUUAUACGGACAUCAGUACUGUCGAACAUUGCCAAAAUGAUGAGGGGAAUGUCGCGAGACUAGUGAUCACAUUAGGAGAGAUUUUGUUGUAUUUUCUGUUAUUCCUUGUAAUGGGGAUCUUGAUACCCUUUUAUAGACUUCAAUCCACCACCCCAACAGUCAAUCAUCAACUCUCCCAAGGUGCAACGGUCUUCAUUUGGGAAAUGUUAAUUCCCUUCACAAUCUCAUAAGCUCAGUUGGCCACUCAGAACAGAGGCCACUGCUGCACAAGAGCCAGAAUAUACAAACAUUAGGUAUUCAAACCUUCCACCAUUUUAACCUUAAUUUGUAGCUGACUGUAGUUCGGAUCAUGGCUUAGAUUAUUAUCAGAUUACACAGCUAGUUUAUAGCAGAGUUGUCAGAGGGUCUGAUGUAAUGUGUCACAAAUACGUUCCUAGCAUGGUUGGGCCAAAAGAAUGUCUCUGUAUGUUUUGUUCUUACUCUAUGUUAUUUGACUAGUCAUGUAUUAUCUCGAUUGUAUUUUGAAAGUUUUGAGUUUGUUGUUUAUUUCAUGCAGGAACCUGCAUCAGAGAUACAUGACAAGAUUUUAUUUAUGAUUAAUAAUAUUUCAUCUUCAAAUAUGGAUGUGAAAGCAAAAUAAUUUACUGAUGUCUUGAGAGAGUAGUACUAUCCAUGGUUUGCUUAGUAUAUGGUGAUGAAAAGGACCAUCAGAAUGUGAGAUUACUGUGGCAUGACUUGAAGAAAGGCGAUUUCUAUCAUCUAAUGGCAACUCCAAAGUCCUUGCACUUAUCAUCUAGGUCUUGCCAUCCAACAAUAUGUUUUGACCCUUCCACUUUCAUGCUUGAUUAAAGUUCUCCUCUGCCCUUUGAUUUUACAGAUGGUGGAAAAGCUAUUUUAUUUAACAGUUGUAUCAUGGUGAUCCAGUGCUAAAUCCUCUUACACCUUGGGAUAGACCUCCAUUGAAAAAUAUUUUCUGUAUACAUGGGAUAGAUAUGAA